This 949-nucleotide long non-coding RNA is filed under the name Calidris pugnax (ruff). RNAcentral's name for it is "lncRNA (ENSCPUG00000017034.1)". The record is from RNAcentral. Lineage: Eukaryota; Metazoa; Chordata; Aves; Charadriiformes; Scolopacidae.
AAAGGUCCAGGACCCCUUUUUUCUCAUAGGAAUAAUAAAGCAUUUGACUAGAAAAUAAUGUCAGUGGGAUUCUCAUCCACCAUACGUUAACAGUGCAUGUCACGGGCAGUGAACCUCCCUUGGAAUCACACAGGACCCUGAAGAUUAAGGCAAAUCCACUUUCCUCCUCCUCUGGGACAGAAGUUUCAACCUGCAGAAACAGCGUAACUUCAUUCUUCAGCUCAUAUUCACACCUCAUUGCUAGAGGCAUUACUCUUUUGUUUUGAAACCUUCUUAUCUCUUUUCCAGAUUUGACCUGCUUUUCUUUUUUUUUCUUUCUUUUUUUUUCAUUUUUGAGAGCUAGUGUUACAGUGCUGUCCUAAAGAUGAGAGAAUUACCCUUAAACAGUCUCUGAGAGAUGCCUUCUCAGGUGGUCUUUUUCCAGCGUUAUCCCUGAUGUUGUCUUCACCAGCUCUCUGUAUUUCUAGGAAGACGCUGAUCUCCACUAUAUCAAAUCUUGGUAUCUCCGGUAAGGACCAAGAGUUUCAAACAGGCAGAAUCCUCUCCACUUUCCUUUUUUGUUGAUGUCCUUGGUAUGUGGCCUCCAGCUGAUGGAUCCUGGCUCCCCUCAGCACGCUUCAUUCUGCAAAACGUCGCUUCGAAUCGUGUUUUACAGGGGAGACCUUGGAGCCGUUCUUGUACCCAGAAAUGGUGCUGCUCCCCCAGCAUCUGGAAGACUGAAGCCUGACCACCAAAGCUCUUGUCCCGGAUUAAUUCCAGAUAAGCAAAUUUCAUAAAGCAUGUUACAGCAAGACAGAGAAACAUAGCAGUGUUUUGAAGCCUGGUUUUGAUUUUUGCUGGAAAGGAAGCAUGUUAGUGAUGCUGUACCUUAACCAGGUGAUACUGAAGUUUCUCCACAUCAGAUUUGCCCCCCUCCUGAAACAAUAAAAGUGCUACCAGUUGGGCUGCA